Molecule: long non-coding RNA, 273 nt
Filed under: Vigna radiata
Lineage: Eukaryota; Viridiplantae; Streptophyta; Magnoliopsida; Fabales; Fabaceae
Description: long non-coding RNA (VRAD_LNC009900)
Source: RNAcentral
UGCUUGGUUGCCCUUUUCUGGGGCCCUCGGCGCCACUGGUCACGCAUGGACGCUUGCUGGCCCCCUUCAGGGGCCUCAGGGGUGAUGUUCGUGCAACCAUGCCUGGAUUCCCUUCUGAGGGGCGCUAAGCGCCAACAGAAGGAGCUGCACCAUGCUGCUUGCGUUCUGAGGGGCGCUGAGAGCCAGUCAGCUAUGCCAUAGAGUGUUGACUCACUGGCAAGUGUACCAGAUCGUUCCAAGUAAUAUAAUCGGUAAAACCUAAUAUCGUUCUUC